GUUUCUUUAGGCGUGUCUUCCGUGCUCUCGUUUUCAUGAUCAUUUAUGAUCUUAUGUUAGUUUUGUCUAAUUUUAAUAGGCUACAUUAUGGACAUUCUUACCUGUAUUUCUAUGUCAAUACUUAUGAUGGUCGCUGAUGGCCUCAUUGUGCACGGUCCCGCUGGCCCUCUGUUUGCUCCUAUGGGAUCUUCAGUGGUCUUGCCCUGUUAUGUUGAUGAACUCUUACUAAUGGAGGAUCUGGAGGUGGAAUGGAGAAGAACAGACUCAAAGGCUCUGGUUCAUCUGUAUCAAGAUGGUGAGAGUCGAGCAGAGGCCCAGCAGCAGGAUUAUCGUGAUAGAGCUCAUUUCUUUACUGACCAGAUUCAACAUGGAAACUUCUCCCUCUGUCUGGACAAUCUGAGAGCUGAAGAUGAGGGACGAUACACAUGUAGAGUUUACAGUCAGCAAGAUUCUGGUGAGACUGUGGUUCAAAUAAAACAUGAGUGUUUGAUAGUAUCAGGAUCAGAUCGGUCUGUUUCUGCAUAUGAUGGUGAGGACGUCACUCUGAACUGCUCUGUAGACUCUCACAUGAAAUCUGAACACAUUGAAAAGGUUUCAUGGAUAAGGACAGAUGAAAAUAUUCUGGUUCUGCUCUUCCAAAACAAAAAGGCUUUACCAGAUUCAUCAGACGAGCGAUACAGAGACAGAGUUGAGUUCUUCACUGCUGAAAUACUCAAAGGAAACUUCUCUCUCAGACUGAAGAGUGUCAGAACUGAGGAUAAAGGAGUUUACAUUUGUCAAGUGUUUGCUGGAGGACUUUCAGCCAGUGCAACUGUGGUACUGGAGAGACUGGGUUUCUCUUUUUGGCACAUAGCUGUGUUAUUUUUCUGUUUUGCUGCUACAUCUGGAGCUGUGCUUCUGCUCUACUCUCUGAACUACUACAGAUCAAAAAACACUGUCACCAGCAACAAAAUCUGGAAUAUUCAGGUUUCUCUGGUCUUUUAUCCAAACAUCUGUAUGUUCUUUGCCUUCAUGUUUUGGGGCCUUUCUGAAGGAUCUCUGCAUGAGACUGUCACCUGCUGUGCUCUUUAUAUUCUGAGACCUGUAAUGUUGAUUUGGGCUUCGCACUAUUUAAAGUAUCUUCAAGACAACCUUAAAUCAUGGAUCAGGUUUUUCAGAAUAACAAGAGAAUUUGCUGCUUUUACGGUCGUUGUUUAUUCAGUUCUUUUUACAUAUGUCUGGAGAAAGAGAGCACAUGAUACAGACACCAAACCUCGCAUAUUUUCUGCAGGAUUAUUUGGAAUUGUUGUGCUGAUUUGUCUCAUCUUGAGUAUAGUUGACUUCUCAAGGCGCCCCAGUCAAAAGCGACCAAGUGGGGUUUCCCCAUGCAACCAAACUCUAGGUUGUAGACUCUUUAUAUUUUGUCUGAUUAUUUCUAUCCUGUCUGAUUGUCAGCUUUUCCAGUUCAUCAUCUUAUUUAUCCCCUCUGAAGAAAUUUUUGUUGUGGUAGUUGUUCAGCCAUUACUGCUUAUUUGUAUACCAUUUUUACCUCUUCUGCAAGCAAAAUUCAACUUUCUCCGCCAUAGAUGGAUAACAUUAUUGUGGAUAAUCACAAUAACAGUCCUGGAAAUCAUUCUAUUGAUUUAUGUUCUUCUAGCCAUAUUGGCAAGAGAGAAAGAGUACUUGGAAUGGACCUGUGUCAUUUUAUUUAUAGAAGUUCUGAAGAUGAUAGUGGUCUUUAAAGAAAAUGUGCAAGAGGCAGAACAUUCAGUAGUUGAGAGAAGACGACAACAGACUGAGACAAGCCAACAAGGAUCAAAUGCAUUGUCUCUCUGUAAUGAAAUCAUGUUCAUGUGUGGAGCAGUUGGACUUGUUUUGUUGAACUCUGUUGCACUGACAGCAGAACUGAUCCUGAAAGCACGGAAUGGUGAGCGUGUCAUGAAGGAUCUAAGAGUCGUUGUCUUCCCUUCUGAAUGUGUUUUUGCUUUGUAUUGGCUGGUUUUACAAAUGCAUGCUUUCUGGAGGAUUGUUACAUCUGGGUCCGGCGUCUGGGACCACUUUGGUUUCCCUGUGUUAUGAGGGUGAUGGCAAGAGAGUGGUGGAUAAAAAAACAACGGUAUGUCGCAUCUGCUACAUGACAAUAAGCUACAUCAGAGGCAAUACUUCAAACAUGUCAACUCAUUUACGCCAACAUCACCCCAGUGUGUCAAUAACUGGAACUAGAUAAAAACUAGAAACACACAUGCUACAAACUAUCCCCGCAGCAUUCAGGCAGACAUUUCCAAAAGAUUAAAACAGGGUAAAACAAAUCACCGAGGCGAUCGGUACAUUUAUAGCCGUGGAUCUGAGACCUUACUCUGUAGUGGAAAAUGCAGGUUUUAAGAACAUGCUCAACGUAAUUGAGCCCCGUUACACUAUUCCUUCACAAGCCCAUUUCAGCCAGACUGUAAUUCCUGCUUUGUACAAAAAAAAACAAAAGCCCAAAUAGAAAACCAGCGGUUGCUCUGACAACAGACAGCUGGAUGUCAAGGGCUACACAAAGCUACCUGAUUGUAACAGCACAUUACAUUACCGCUGAAUGGGAGAUGAAAAUCCAUGUUCUUCAGACAUGCCCCCUUGAGAGUCACACGAGUGAGGAUUUGGCCAAAGGGAUGACAGAAGCAGUGGAAAUGUGGAAGCUGGAACGAGCUAAUGUACCUAUUCCUGUGACUACUGACAAUGCCAGGAAUAGUUAACGCUGUUGAAACUGCUGGACUUUGAAAAAAGGUGCUUUGCCCAAGUCAUUAAUCUAGCAUCUCAGAAAGCAAUGGCAGUGCAGCAGAUCUCUCGCCUCCUAGCAAAGAUCAGAAAGAUUGUGAAGCACAACAGCGGCCCAUGUGUUGAAGACAAAACAGAAGUUGCUGCAGCUUCCUAAUCACAAUCUCAUCCAAGAUAUACAAACUAGAUGGAAUUCAAGCUACGAUAUUACUGAAAGAUGUCUUGAGCAGCUAGACAGAUAAAGCUGUGAAGAGAAAUGUUAAAGACAUUGUGACUUUGUCUAAACUGGCUGAGAAUGUCAUCACAGUUUUGAAACCCCUGAAAACUGUGACAACCCUUAUGUGCACCGAGUCCUGUCCAUCUGCGUCCAUGGUCUUGCCUAUGAAAAUGAUGAUCCUGAAAUCCAUGGUACUGUCCGAUGAUGACAGUCCAGCAGUGAGGGAUGUCAAAACAGCUAUCAGAAAUUACCUGCAGCAGAGAUACACAGAACCUGGUGUUCAAGAUUACCUACACAAGAGCACCACUUUGGAUCCACGAUUCAAGUCACUGCUACACUUGGAUUCUACCACUCGCCUGAGAGUCUAUGAUCUUCUUACCACAGAGAUUGUGAGCACUGAACAACAGAACACAGAAUCAUGAAAUGGAGAAUCUGACUGAUCCUGAUGUUUCACAGACACAGAUAUGAGAAACUGACUCAACUACAUUCAUCCUGUACUCUGACUGCUCUUUCUGUCUGCAAAAGAAGAGUUCCUCUGGAGUAAAAACCCCAACAAACUGAGACUGAAAACUAAAUUGUAAAGCAGAUGUUCUGGUGACUUUCUGUUACAAAUAACUUGAAUAAUUUUGUAUUGGUUGCCAAAUAAUUUCAAAAGUAAAACAUGAUGUAUUUUUGUGGCAGUAUAAGGUUUCUUCUAAUAAUAAUAAAAAAAAAUAAAUAAAUAAAUAUAUAUAUAUAUAUAUAUAUAUAUAUAUAUAUAAAUUUUCCAUAAACAAAUUGGGGUACAGCUCUGUACAGCUUAUGUACAGAGCCUUGCAAAAAUAUUUAUACCCACUGAACUUUUCCACAUUUUGUCACAUAACCACAAACAAAAAUGUAUUUUAUUGGGAUUUUAUGUGAUAGACCAACACAAAGUGACAAAUAAUUGUGAAUUGGACUGAAAAUGAUAAAUGGUGUCCAAAAUAUUUUUACAAAUAAAUAUCUGAAAAGUGUGAAACGUAUCACAAGAAAAAAAAAAAAAAAACAGCUGUGGAUUAUCCAGGUAACAACAUAGUAUUAAGAAUCCAACGUAUGUAAACUUUUGAACAUGGCCGUUUUUAUAAAUUCAACUAAUAUUAUCUCUUGUAGACUAUAUGUAAACGUCUUUUCAUGUGAAAUAUCUUAUUCAGGUCAAUACUAAAUAAAAAACAACAACAUGCA
Onychostoma macrolepis is the source of this 4153-nucleotide RNA transcript. RefSeq lists it as uncharacterized. NCBI's taxonomy places the organism in Eukaryota, Metazoa, Chordata, Actinopteri, Cypriniformes, Cyprinidae. The record is from RefSeq and is a predicted model, not a curated record. The transcript is spliced from 19 exons.